Molecule: ribosomal RNA, 497 nt
Filed under: uncultured bacterium
Lineage: Bacteria
Description: partial 16S ribosomal RNA
Rfam family: Bacterial small subunit ribosomal RNA
Source: RNAcentral
GAUGAACGCUGGCGGCGUGCCUAAUACAUGCAAGUCGAGCGAACAGACGAGGAGCUUGCUCCUCUGACGUUAGCGGCGGACGGGUGAGUAACACGUGGAUAACCUACCUAUAAGACUGGGAUAACUUCGGGAAACCGGAGCUAAUACCGGAUAAUAUAUUGAACCGCAUGGUUCAAUAGUGAAAGACGGUUUUGCUGUCACUUAUAGAUGGAUCCGCGCCGCAUUAGCUAGUUGGUAAGGUAACGGCUUACCAAGGCAACGAUGCGUAGCCGACCUGAGAGGGUGAUCGGCCACACUGGAACUGAGACACGGUCAAGACUCCUAAGGGAGGCAGCAGUAGGGAAUCUUCCGCAAUGGGCGAAAGCAUGACGGAGCAACGCCGAGUGAGUGAUGAAGGUCUUCGGAUCGUAAAACUCUGUUAUUAGGGAAGAACAAAUGUGUAAGUAACUAUGCACGUAUUGACGGUACCUAAUCAGAAAGCCACGGCUAACUACGUG